Molecule: long non-coding RNA, 296 nt
Filed under: Salvia miltiorrhiza (redroot sage)
Lineage: Eukaryota; Viridiplantae; Streptophyta; Magnoliopsida; Lamiales; Lamiaceae
Description: long non-coding RNA (SMIL_LNC012901)
Source: RNAcentral
GGAAAUGUUUAUAUGCCUUACAUGUUUUUGGUCUUCUUCUCCUUCUCUUGUUUGUUUAUUUUUCAUUUUAUAUAGCGAUUGAAUGUGAACUCGUGAUAUAUAUUUAACUAUUAUGUUACCUAAAAUAUUUUUUUAAUGUUUAUUUUAUUAAUUUUUGAAAAAACACAUGCAAUCUAGCGUUUUACAGUACUUUUUAAUGGCGUAUUGUGUACUACUUGUAUUUUAAUUAUUUUAAUAAUGAAAUAUGAGAGUCAGGUAGAAAAUAUUCGGACACUAUUUAAAUUCGGAGAAAGAAG